Molecule: long non-coding RNA, 759 nt
Filed under: Rattus norvegicus (Norway rat)
Lineage: Eukaryota; Metazoa; Chordata; Mammalia; Rodentia; Muridae
Description: long non-coding RNA NONRATT021458
Source: RNAcentral
GAUGGUAAGGGGUAGAGUCCUCCAAGAGGUGGAUCCUGACAUGAAGGCACUGAAAUGUAUUAUUACACAGGAGCAGAAGGCAGCAGAUGAUUCUGAUUAGUACAUGCAUGUGCUGAGAUGACACACAUCUCUGAUAGGUGCACAUCAGUGGUAUGGAAUAAGUUUUAAUUAUUCUAAAAGAAUCAGGCAUUUUAGAAAAUAGAAGAAGCUUACAUACAUUCAGCCAAAGGUACUAAACCACUUGUUAUAAUGAGAUAUCAGAGCUGGAUAGUCUCCAUCUUGAGUGUUGGGAGGAAAAAUGCACUGUGGAAAUGACAAAUUGGAAAUUACUAUGUAGGAAGUCGUGCCUGUUCCUUGUUCUCUGUCCCCUCUGGUCCCUGCUGACCUCCAUGAGUUCUGAGCAGAUUUAGAAACAUGCCUGUUUUUGCAGGCUUGGGACAACAGGUGACAGUCGGCAGCCAUCCCACUAGCACUGUAAAGGAAGGAGAAGGCCACCAGCCCUGACCACAGCAUCAGGCUUAGAGCUAGAAGGUGGUCUCUAAGGUCAGUGUUUGAAGAAGUAGACAAGCCACCUCUAUGUGCUACACAGUGGAACCUGCCCUGGUUAGUGAUCAAGGAUGAUGAGGGACCUAGCUCAUUCUUCCCUACUGGCAUCCCUUCAGAGAUUGGUUCAUCAUCUCUGAUCCUCAGCCAACCUAAUUUCCUCUCUCUCUCUCUGCUUCUUUUCACAGCGCUCAUGUAUCCCAAGUCAGCAGUGUU